This 754-nucleotide ribosomal RNA is filed under the name uncultured Lactobacillus sp. Its description in RNAcentral is "bacterial SSU rRNA". It matches the Rfam family "Bacterial small subunit ribosomal RNA", at positions 59 to 775 of the family's 1533-position model. The record is from RNAcentral. Lineage: Bacteria; Bacillati; Bacillota; Bacilli; Lactobacillales; Lactobacillaceae.
AACGCGUCUCCGUUAAUGACUUUAGGUGCUUGCACUUGAGAGAUUUAACAUUGAGACGAGUGGCGAACUGGUGAGUAACACGUGGGUAACCUGCCCUUGAAGUAGGGGAUAACACUUGGAAACAGGUGCUAAUACCGUAUAACAACCAAAACUACCUGGUUUUGGUUUAAAAGACGGCUUCGGCUGUCACUUUAGGAUGGACCCGCGGCGUAUUAGCUUGUUGGUAAGGUAACGGCCUACCAAGGCGAUGAUACGUAGCCGACCUGAGAGGGUAAUCGGCCACAUUGGGACUGAGACACGGCCCAAACUCCUACGGGAGGCAGCAGUAGGGAAUCUUCCACAAUGGACGAAAGUCUGAUGGAGCAACGCCGCGUGAGUGAUGAAGGGUUUCGGCUCGUAAAACUCUGUUGUUGGAGAAGAACAGGUGUCAGAGUAACUGUUGACAUCUUGACGGUAUCCAACCAGAAAGCCACGGCUAACUACGUGCCAGCAGCCGCGGUAAUACGUAGGUGGCAAGCGUUGUCCGGAUUUAUUGGGCGUAAAGCGAGCGCAGGCGGUUUUUUAGGUCUGAUGUGAAAGCCUUCGGCUUAACCGGAGAAGUGCAUUGGAAACCGGGAGACUUGAGUGCAGAAGAGGACAGUGGAACUCCAUGUGUAGCGGUGAAAUGCGUAGAUAUAUGGAAGAACACCAGUGGCGAAGGCGGCUGUCUGGUCUGUAACUGACGCUGAGGCUCGAAAGCAUGGGUAGCGAACAG